GCCUUCGUGGUGUAACGGUAGCACAUCUGGCGCGUAUUCGAGAGGUCCAGGUUCGAAUCCCGGUGAAAGCA
This 71-nucleotide transfer RNA is filed under the name Stegodyphus mimosarum. It matches the Rfam family "tRNA". From Rfam's summary of the family: Transfer RNA (tRNA) molecules are approximately 80 nucleotides in length. Their secondary structure includes four short double-helical elements and three loops (D, anti-codon, and T loops). The record is from Rfam by way of RNAcentral. Lineage: Eukaryota; Metazoa; Arthropoda; Arachnida; Araneae; Eresidae.